CACAGUUAGCCUGCAGCAAGAUUGUCUCUUAUCUCCCUAUCUUCUUAUUAUAUAUGUUGAUGCCCUUUUGUGAGUUCUUCGUACUGCCUCCCUCACGACAGGCUUGAACUGCUAUGUUCCAGCCCCAAUGGUUCAGCCGAUGUCACAUCUUUUUGUUCGCAGAUGAUUGCUUACUAUUGGGCUGAGCCCCAUUCCAGAAUACCAUUGACUUUAGGAGGAUUUUGAAAGAAUACUGUGAUGCCUCAAGUCAGAAUGUGAAUCUUUUCAAGUC
RNAcentral lists this long non-coding RNA (271 nucleotides) under Elaeis guineensis (African oil palm). RNAcentral describes it as "long non-coding RNA (EGUI_LNC029701)". The record is from RNAcentral. Lineage: Eukaryota; Viridiplantae; Streptophyta; Magnoliopsida; Arecales; Arecaceae.